RNAcentral lists this ribosomal RNA (301 nucleotides) under uncultured bacterium. RNAcentral describes it as "bacterial SSU rRNA". It matches the Rfam family "Bacterial small subunit ribosomal RNA", at positions 333 to 651 of the family's 1533-position model. The record is from RNAcentral.
UGGCUCCUACGGGGCGCAGCAGUAGGGAAUAUUACUCAAUGGGGGAAACCCUGGAGCAGCAACGCCGCGUGGAGGAUGAAGGUUUUCGGAUUGUAAACUCCUUUUGUUAGAGAAGAUAAUGGCGGUAUCUAACGAAUAAGCACCGGCUAACUCCGUGCCAGCAGCCGCGGUAAUACGGAGGGUGCAAGCGUUACUCGGAAUCACUGGGCGUAAAGAGCGCGGAGGCGGGAUAGCAAGGCAGAUGUGAAAUCCUAUGGCUUAACCAUAGAACUGCAUUUUAAACUGUUUUUCUAGAGUAUGG